UUUCCUGCGGAAUAGCUCCGGGAAACUGGAAUUAAUACCGCAUACGCCCUACGGGGGAAAGAUUUAUCGGGGAAGGAUUGGCCCGCGUUGGAUUAGCUAGUUGGUGGGGUAAAGGCCUACCAAGGCGACGAUCCAUAGCUGGUCUGAGAGGAUGAUCAGCCACAUUGGGACUGAGACACGGCCCAAACUCCUACGGGAGGCAGCAGUGGGGAAUAUUGGACAAUGGGCGCAAGCCUGAUCCAGCCAUGCCGCGUGAGUGAUGAAGGCCUUAGGGUUGUAAAGCUCUUUCACCGGAGAAGAUAAUGACGGUAUCCGGAGAAGAAGCCCCGGCUAACUUCGUGCCAGCAGCCGCGGUAAUACGAAGGGGGCUAGCGUUGUUCGGAAUUACUGGGCGUAAAGCGCACGUAGGCGGAUAUUUAAGUCAGGGGUGAAAUCCCAGAGCUCAACUCUGGAACUGCCUUUGAUACUGGGUAUCUUGAGUAUGGAAGAGGUAAGUGGAAUUCCGAGUGUAGAGGUG
RNAcentral lists this ribosomal RNA (517 nucleotides) under Agrobacterium tumefaciens. RNAcentral's name for it is "bacterial SSU rRNA". It matches the Rfam family "Bacterial small subunit ribosomal RNA", at positions 132 to 683 of the family's 1533-position model. The record is from RNAcentral. Lineage: Bacteria; Pseudomonadati; Pseudomonadota; Alphaproteobacteria; Hyphomicrobiales; Rhizobiaceae.